CGGUUAAUAACAUUUUAAUUCGACGUUUUGACUAGCUUGCAGCCAAUGAGUUUAAUAAGUUCUUUUGUAAGAUUGGAGCUAAACUGGCUGAAACUAUAUUGGCUGAUCCACUACAAUACGUCACUCCCAUGCAAUGUAGUCAAUCAUAGUCUUUCAAAACAUGGCUUGGAAGCUCCGCUAAAGUCUUUGUUCUAUCUUUUUGUUCGCGUUUAUUAUGCAGUUUUCUGCACGGUGCACGGUCAAUGAACACAUUGUAUUUCAGUAUAAUGAACGAAUCAUCCAAUAGCAAAGUUUCAGUUAAGUCAUUCAAU
Molecule: non-coding RNA, 311 nt
Organism: Paramuricea clavata
Lineage: Eukaryota; Metazoa; Cnidaria; Anthozoa; Malacalcyonacea; Plexauridae
Source: the annotation of a GenBank genome assembly